GUCUACGGCCAUGCCACCCUGAACAAGCCGGAUCCUGUCUGAUCUCAGAAGCUAAGCAGGGUCAGGCCUGGUUAGUACUUGGAGGGGAGACCACCUAGGAAGACCAGGUGCUGUAGGUG
RNAcentral lists this ribosomal RNA (119 nucleotides) under Pteropus alecto (black flying fox). The record is from RNAcentral. Lineage: Eukaryota; Metazoa; Chordata; Mammalia; Chiroptera; Pteropodidae.